This 250-nucleotide unclassified non-coding RNA is filed under the name uncultured fungus. RNAcentral's name for it is "partial contains 5.8S ribosomal RNA, internal transcribed spacer 2, and large subunit ribosomal RNA". The stretch from base 1 to 52 matches the Rfam family "5.8S ribosomal RNA", at positions 103 to 154 of the family's 154-position model. The record is from RNAcentral. Lineage: Eukaryota; Fungi.
AACGCACAUUGCGCCCGCCAGUAUUCUGGCGGGCAUGCCUGUUCGAGCGUCAUUUCAACCCUCAAGCCCCCGGGCUUGGUGCUGGGGAUCGGCCGUCACGGGCCGGCCCCGAAAUCGAGUGGCGGUCUCGCUGUAGCCUCCUCUGCGUAGUAGCAACACCUCGCACUGGAACGCGGCGCGGCCACGCCGUAAAACCCCCCAACUUCUGAAGGUUGACCUCGGAUCAGGUAGGGAUACCCGCUGAACUUAA